This 584-nucleotide ribosomal RNA is filed under the name Cophyla pollicaris (common giant treefrog). Its description in RNAcentral is "partial large subunit ribosomal RNA". It matches the Rfam family "Bacterial large subunit ribosomal RNA", at positions 1796 to 2608 of the family's 2925-position model. Lineage: Eukaryota; Metazoa; Chordata; Amphibia; Anura; Microhylidae. The record is from RNAcentral.
UCGCCUGUUUUAUCAAAAACAUCGCCUCUUGACUAAAAUAUGAGAGGUCUAGCCUGCCCAGUGACAAUGUUAAACGGCCGCGGAACCCUAACCGUGCGAAGGUAGCACAAUCACUUGUUCUUUAAAUUAGGACUAGUAUGAACGGCCUCACGAGAGCUAUACUGUCUCCCCCUUUUAAUCAGUAAAACUGAUCUCCUCGUGAAGAAGCGAGGAUACCCCUAUAAGACGAGAAGACCCCAUGGAGCUUUAAACUUGUACCACUGCCUUCCCCACACCAAUUAACCCAGGCAAAUAAUGAUUACAAGUCUUUCGGCUGGGGCGACCACGGAGAAAAACUAAACCUCCACGACGAAAGGAGCAAUCCUAAUUGAAGAGCUACUGCUCAAAGAAUCAACAAAUUGACAUAUUGACCCAAACAUUUUUGAUCAACGAACCAAGUUACCCUGGGGAUAACAGCGCAAUCCAUUUUUAGAGACCCCAUCAACAAAUGGGCUUACGACCUCGAUGUUGGAUCAGGGUAUCCUAGUGGUGCAGCCGCUACUAAAGGUUCGUUUGUUCAACGAUUCAAACCCUACGUGAUCUGA